CCCACGAAGGCCAGAUGACAUCUUACAUGGAAAAUGCAUUCUGUGCCCUAUAGAGGUGCCACCAGACAUCACGAAUGCAUGCAGCUCGAGCAGCUCCUGCUCCCCAAGGACAGAGCAGGGUGCUACAAGUGCUCCAGCUGUCCAGUAUGGAACUGCAGCAGUGGAAAAGAGAAUGGUAGUAUGUGGCUUGUGCUCAGUGAGAGGGACAGUGGCAGAGCUGGAUUAUGGCAGAAACUGAAGAAGAAAGUGUGUUGUCUUCAGAAACCACCAUUCCCACAGGAGGUCAGUGGGUCAAACAACUUGAGUUGCCUUCACAGGCUGUGAUAUUCUGAUGACAGAUGUUUCCACCAGUGUACAAUAUUUCAGUCACCGUUGUUUAGCAGCACUAAGGAGGAGCUGAGCACCCAAUGGAAAAUCUGUCUUUAUCGCCAGAUGCUGGGGACGGACCCAAGGGGAUGAUCCUCCCAAUACUUUCGUCCACCAAAACUGGUAUUGCUCCAAAUGAGAUGGAUGAUUAAAUAUCUCUGCUGAUUCUGAAAGCCUUCAGAAGAAAAAUUCCCAGAUUACAACAGCACAUUAUCAAGGAGUGCAGGUUGACAGUCAAAUUCUGCUCAGGUACACCUGAUCCCAUGGGCUGGGCUGCAUCCUGCACCCUCUCUUGAGCAGUGUCCCAAGAGCCCUCCUUGCAUCCUAGUGCCUCUCGCCCAUAGGAAAGAAGGAAUCCCAGUAACAACCUCCAAGGGGGAUCUGGUUCUCAGCACAUCCCAUGCCACGCCACCUGUGCCGCAGCUUUUGGCAUGGGCAGAGGAGCAGCCCUGUUGCAACAGCUGGUGCAGAAAAACACACCACUCUCUUCUGCACAGUCAUUCCCUCCCUGGUCCCAAGUUUUGAGGUGUCCAGCUUCAUCAAAUUGUUGUUACACCUCUCCAAACUGCCUCCCUCCUGCCCUUCCCACUCGCCCGCUCCUCUGCUGUGGUGUUCAUUAACGGGGACCUCCCGCCCACCAAGCUGCAAAAUCUCUGCUCUCGCUUCUGCUGCUGCAUCACAGAGAGAAAAAGGAAGAAAAACAAGAAGAAAAUGUCAAGCCGAAGGAUGGUCAUCGCUUUUGUAGUUUCAUGCUAUUCCAUGUCAGCUUAAAGGAGGUAAAUAUAAUAACAGCAGUAGAUAAUGGAGAAACACUGAGAAUUAGGAAAUAGCUUUGAAUUAAUCUCACCUUAUUUAUUUAUUUUUAAGCACAGCAGUGCACCUCCUAGCUCCCUUAUCUUUUUGGGUGCACCUGGAACUGUGAAAGCUUUAAACUUGCAAAUCCUAAGCUUAAACAGGGUAAAUAGUUUUUCUUCAAACACUCUAGAAUGG
Columba livia (rock pigeon) is the source of this 1356-nucleotide long non-coding RNA. RefSeq lists it as uncharacterized. The record is from RefSeq and is a predicted model, not a curated record. The transcript has 4 exons. Lineage: Eukaryota; Metazoa; Chordata; Aves; Columbiformes; Columbidae.